CAAAAUAGAGCUUGAUAGUUGAGUUACUCGUUUACACCGAGGAGGAUUCUGUGCAAUUCAGAUUGUUUUGA
Molecule: transfer RNA, 71 nt
Filed under: Ctenolepisma villosum
Lineage: Eukaryota; Metazoa; Arthropoda; Insecta; Zygentoma; Lepismatidae
Description: Ctenolepisma villosa tRNA-Val
Source: RNAcentral